GGUUAAGCGACUAAGCGUACACGGUGGAUGCCCUGGCAGUCASAGGCGAUGAAGGACCGUGCUAAUCUGCGAUAAGCGUCGGUAAGGUGAUAUGAACCGUUAUAACCGGCGAUUUCCGAAUGGGGAAACCCAGUGUGWUUCGWCACACUAUCAUUAACUGAAUCCAUAGGUUAAUGAGGCGAACCGGGGGAACUGAAACAUCUAAGUACCCCGAGGAAAAGAAAUCAACCGAGAUUCCCCCAGUAGCGGCGAGCGAACGGGGAGGAGCCCAGAGCCUGAAUCAGUGUGUGUGUUAGUGGAAGCGUCUGGAAAGGCGCGCGAUACAGGGUGACAGCCCCGUACACAAAAAUGCACAURCUGUGAGCUCGAUGAGUAGGGCGGGACACGUGGUAUCCUGUCUGAAUAUGGGGGGACCAUCCUCCAAGGCUAAAUACUCCUGACUGACCGAUAGUGAACCAGUACCGUGAGGGAAAGGCGAAAAGAACCCCGGCGAGGGGAGUGAAAAAGAACCUGAAACCGUGUACGUACAAGCAGUGGGAGCACWBWKYWAUSKGUGUGACUGCGUACCUUUUGUAUAAUGGGUCAGCGACUUAUAUUCUGUAGCAAGGUUAACCGAAUAGGGGAGCCGAAGGGAAACCGAGUCUUAACYGGGCGUUAAGUUGCAGGGUAUAGACCCGAAACCCGGUGAUCUAGCCAUGGGCAGGUUGAAGGUUGGGUAACACUAACUGGAGGACCGAACCGACUAAUGUUGAAAAAUUAGCGGAUGACUUGUGGCUGGGGGUGAAAGGCCAAUCAAACCGGGAGAUAGCUGGUUCUCCCCGAAAGCUAUUUAGGUAGCGCCUCGUGAAUUCAUCUCCGGGGGUAGAGCACUGUUUCGGCAAGGGGGUCAUCCCGACUUACCAACCCGAUGCAAACUGCGAAUACCGGAGAAUGUUAUCACGGGAGACACACGGCGGGUGCUAACGUCCGUCGUGAAGAGGGAAACAACCCAGACCGCCAGCUAAGGUCCCAAAGUCAUGGUUAAGUGGGAAACGAUGUGGGAAGGCCCAGACAGCCAGGAUGUUGGCUUAGAAGCAGCCAUCAUUUAAAGAAAGCGUAAUAGCUCACUGGUCGAGUCGGCCUGCGCGGAAGAUGUAACGGGGCUAAACCAUGCACCGAAGCUGCGGCAGCGACACUGUGUGUUGUUGGGUAGGGGAGCGUUCUGUAAGCCUGUGAAGGUGURCUGUGAGGYAUGCUGGAGGUAUCAGAAGUGCGAAUGCUGACAUAAGUAACGAUAAAGCGGGUGAAAAGCCCGCUCGCCGGAAGACCAAGGGUUCCUGUCCAACGUUAAUCGGGGCAGGGUGAGUCCGACCCCUAAGGCGAGGCCGAAAGGCGUAGUCGAUGGGAAACAGGUUAAUAUUCCUGUACUUGGUGUUACUGCGAAGGGGGGACGGAGAAGGCUAUGUUGGCCGGGCGACGGUUGUCCCGGUUUAAGCGUGUAGGCUGGUUUUCCAGGCAAAUCCGGAAAAUCAAGGCUGAGGCGUGAUGACGAGGCACUACGGUGCUGAAGCAACAAAUGCCCUGCUUCCAGGAAAAGCCUCUAAGCAUCAGGUAACAUCAAAUCGUACCCCAAACCGACACAGGUGGUCAGGUAGAGAAUACCAAGGCGCUUGAGAGAACUCGGGUGAAGGAACUAGGCAAAAUGGUGCCCGUAACUUCGGGAGAAGGCACGCUGAUAUGUAGGUGAAGUCCCUCGCGGAUGGAGCUGAAAUCAGUCGAAGAUACCAGCUGGCUGCAACUGUUUAUUAAAAACACAGCACUGUGCAAACACGAAAGUGGACGUAUACGGUGUGACGCCUGCCCGGUGCCGGAAGGUUAAUUGAUGGGGUCAGCGCAAGCGAAGCUCUUGAUCGAAGCCCCGGUAAACGGCGGCCGUAACUAUAACGGUCCUAAGGUAGCGAAAUUCCUUGUCGGGUAAGUUCCGACCUGCACGAAUGGCGUAAUGAUGGCCAGGCUGUCUCCACCCGAGACUCAGUGAAAUUGAACUCGCUGUGAAGAUGCAGUGUACCCGCGGCAAGACGGAAAGACCCCGUGAACCUUUACUAUAGCUUGACACUGAACAUUGAGCCUUGAUGUGUAGGAUAGGUGGGAGGCUUUGAAGUGUGGACGCCAGUCUGCAUGGAGCCGACCUUGAAAUACCACCCUUUAAUGUUUGAUGUUCUAACGUGGACCCGUGAUCCGGGUUGCGGACAGUGUCUGGUGGGUAGUUUGACUGGGGCGGUCUCCUCCUAAAGAGUAACGGAGGAGCACGAAGGUUGGCUAAUCCUGGUCGGACAUCAGGAGGUUAGUGCAAUGGCAUAAGCCAGCUUGACUGCGAGCGUGACGGCGCGAGCAGGUGCGAAAGCAGGUCAUAGUGAUCCGGUGGUUCUGAAUGGAAGGGCCAUCGCUCAACGGAUAAAAGGUACUCCGGGGAUAACAGGCUGAUACCGCCCAAGAGUUCAUAUCGACGGCGGUGUUUGGCACCUCGAUGUCGGCUCAUCACAUCCUGGGGCUGAAGUAGGUCCCAAGGGUAUGGCUGUUCGCCAUUUAAAGUGGUACGCGAGCUGGGUUUAGAACGUCGUGAGACAGUUCGGUCCCUAUCUGCCGUGGGCGCUGGAGAACUGAGGGGGGCUGCUCCUAGUACGAGAGGACCGGAGUGGACGCAUCACUGGUGUUCGGGUUGUCAUGCCAAUGGCACUGCCCGGUAGCUAAAUGCGGAAGAGAUAAGUGCUGAAAGCAUCUAAGCACGAAACUUGCCCCGAGAUGAGUUCUCCCUGACCCUUUAAGGGUCCUGAAGGAACGUUGAAGACGACGACGUUGAUAGGCCGGGUGUGUAAGCGCAGCGAUGCGUUGAGCUAACCGGUACUAAUGAACCGUGAGGCUUAACCUU
Molecule: ribosomal RNA, 2908 nt
Filed under: Escherichia coli O157:H7 str. EDL933
Lineage: Bacteria; Pseudomonadati; Pseudomonadota; Gammaproteobacteria; Enterobacterales; Enterobacteriaceae
Description: bacterial LSU rRNA
Rfam family: Bacterial large subunit ribosomal RNA
Source: RNAcentral